AGGGAGCAUGUGCUUGAGAAACUGAAAACAAGGCCCCCACAGCUGGAGUGGAGAGGACAAGACGAUGUUCGGUGUGAGCUAAGACCACAGCGAUGAGGAGGGCCAAAAUCACACCGGGCCACCGGGCCACACAGAGAACGAUGCCCUCUCCUCCAUUGCACGCAACUGAACCAACGUGGCUGGCAUUCCAGCCUCCCUGCCUGGUGCACACCUGCCAUGGUGUAAGAACCAGCUCAUCAUCCCCUGGGUGAAACCAGCUCUACCCUCUCCCCCCCAUCUCCGGUGCUACUCAAAGGCCCGAGUCCCAUUAACUUCUGUACUCACAGCCCAGCAGAGUGUCUGGUGGAGCUUCCAGACAAAGAUAUAACAAAGAGUUCGUGGUUUCUAAAAGGUUGUCAGAGUGGCAAGGUCUACCUUAGAAUAUGCCGACACCAUUAAGAUCCUUUUUUGGUGAAACGUUUCCAGUGAUACUCAGAUGCCACUGUUCAGAAAGAGCCCGGCAGGAGCGAACGAAAGCAGAUUCCUCCUCCGAAGAGAGCCCAGGCAACAAAUGGAGGCUGGUAAGUAGCACCCGUUGGUAAGAGAGAUAAGAUGACUUGGAACGAGUCUGAGUAUCAGCAAGCCUGCAUUUUCAAACUCAGGCCAACAGCUCAACGUCUAUUUAUGUCAGGUUAGAUCGCACCCUUUGAUAAAGCAUACGGUCACUAGAAAGUGUCCUUUAGUCCCCCUUCCUUCCUCUUGUAGGCAUAAAUUCCCCCUUAUACAGAUCAGUCUGCAGUCAUGAUUGGGUCCACCCUGAGUCCAAACAACCAGGACUUUCAUCUGAGAGGGGGAAAAAAAAAUCUAUCCGAACCCACUGUGUGAAAAUUGUAUGGACCCCAAGUAGUUUUAAUUGAAUGUUGUACUUUUUACCAUAUACUUCUGCAUCUUUCGUAAAUGGGUUGGAGGCCACUUUGUAUCUAACACAAUGGUACCAACGUUGAAUUUU
This is a long non-coding RNA of Leopardus geoffroyi (Geoffroy's cat), 988 nucleotides long. RefSeq lists it as uncharacterized. The transcript is spliced from 3 exons. The record is from RefSeq and is a predicted model, not a curated record. Lineage: Eukaryota; Metazoa; Chordata; Mammalia; Carnivora; Felidae.